UUUCGAUUUAAAAUAAAUGAUGUUCUUCAAAUUUGUAUUCAUUAAAGAAUCCUGAAAAAAUGUAUUAUGGUUUCCACAAAAAUAUUGAGUUGUACAACUGUUUACAACAUUGGUGAUAUUAAGAAAUGUUUCUUGAGCACCAAAUCAGAAUAUUAGAAUGAUUUCUGAAGCAUCAUGUCACACUAAAGUCGAAACUUCAACUUUGCCAUCACAGAAAUAAAUGACAUUUUAAAAUAUAUUAAAUUAGGAAAAGUUAUUGUAAAUUGUAAUAAUAUUUAAAAAUGUUUACUGUCUUUACUGUAUUUUUGGCCAAAUAAACACAAGCUGUCUAUUUUUAUGCAAUCACAUUGUUAGCUUAUAGCAGCAUGAUAACAGCAAACUUCUUUGAAACGUUUGUGAGUCGAGACUCCCAAGGAGCACAAUUUACAUGAAACACUUCUGAUGUUACCUGUGUAGGCAGUAGACAGCAAGGCAGCUCACUAAUUUCUGGAACACAGCCACUCACACACCUCAUAGGCUGUUCUGUGCACCAGUAUUAGGCAUGAUAAAGUAAAAAAUGUAAUUUACACCGUAUUCAGUUUGAACACUCAGUGACUUUCAGCGUGCCGCUUGUUUUCUGCCAGCAUGUGUUGUUGAAUGUGUCUGGUGUCUGUCAGAGGGCAGCUCUUCACCACAUCUGUGCACAUGUGUAUCUUUCAGAUGGUUUGUGGUAAAGGUAGCACUCUUAUAAACCUUAUUACCCAGUUUGGCCGACUCAGUUAACAGCAUUGGGCUCAAAUGUAGAGUGUUUAGGACUUUGAAUUGCUAUUCAUGUCUCAGCCUGGGUCAGAUCACUCACACAUGCACGCUUGAGUUAACUGAACACUGCUGUUGACUGGGGAGGGUUGUUAUGAAUAUGCGGGUGGGUCUUCAUGUAGUAUCAUGGUUGAGCAUGAAAGUCAGCUGCAACCACCAGCUUUGAACUUUUCUACUGCCAGCUAACACUUCCAGCUGUUUAGAUGCAAGUGAACUGGUUUAAAAGAGAUUUCAGAUGAUGUCACUAUAACCUUGAAGUCACACAAGUCUUACAAAUGUAUCAGGGGUCUGAGUCUCUCUCUCUCUCACACACACACACACACACAAACACACUCCUCUUCAGCCUGGUGAUGAAGCAGAUGGUGGUUAUUUUCAUCUCUUGUUGUUUUCUUUCUUUUUUGUUUUGUUUUCUACUCUUCUCUCACAAAAAUAUCAUGUGUUUAUUUUCAGGGAAUUAUGCAUGAAAUUUACCUUAAUUUAAUUAAUUUAUGUCCGCUGAUUUAUUUAUUUAGAAUUAUUUUGGUCAACAGAAAAUUAAAAAUAAAAUAUUUGAAAAAUC
Cyprinus carpio carpio is the source of this 1354-nucleotide long non-coding RNA. The record is from Ensembl. NCBI's taxonomy places the organism in Eukaryota, Metazoa, Chordata, Actinopteri, Cypriniformes, Cyprinidae.